Molecule: ribosomal RNA, 497 nt
Filed under: uncultured bacterium
Lineage: Bacteria
Description: partial 16S ribosomal RNA
Rfam family: Bacterial small subunit ribosomal RNA
Source: RNAcentral
GACGAACGCUGGCGGCGUGCCUAAUACAUGCAAGUAGAACGCUGAAGAGAGGAGCUUCCUCUUCUUGGAUGGGUUGCGAACGGGUGAGUAACGCGUAGGUAACCUGCCUUGUAGCGGGGGAUAACUAUUGGAAACGAUAGCUAAUACCGCAUAACAAUGGAUGACACAUGUCAUUUAUUUGAAAGGGGCAAUUGCUCCACUACAAGAUGGACCUGCGUUGUAUUAGCUAGUAGGUGAGGUAAUGGCUCACCUAGGCGACGAUACAUAGCCGACCUGAGAGGGUGAUCGGCCACACUGGGACUGAGACACGGCCCAGACUCCUACGGGAGGCAGCAGUAGGGAAUCUUCGGCAAUGGGGGCAACCCUGACCGAGCAACGCCGCGUGAGUGAAGAAGGGUUUCGGAUCGUAAAGCUCUGUUGUAAGUCAAGAACGGGUGUGAGAGUGGAAAGUUCACACUGUGACGGUAGCUGACCAGAAAGGGACGGCUAACUACGUG